AAUUGGUAACCCUAAUUUCUCGCCUCCUUCCUACACUAGCACUAUUCUCUCGACUCUUCCUUCUACUUGUGAUCUCUUCAAUGACGAAUACGUCUGCUCCUUAGUAUUUCCUCUUUCUCUACACACUUUCAAUCUCUCUCUAAAGCCACAAUUUCAAUCUCUCUCUCAGGCUUUGCUGAAGAUCUGUGUUUGUUUUGGACCAGCUGCGCAGGGUUCAAAUCGGACUAUCAAGCUUUCCUCAACAUUUCUGCUUGUUUCAGACGACCUACGCAGGCUUCAAUAUCAAAUCAGGGCCCGCUUGAUUGGAUGACCACCGCUCUCCCGAUCUACUGCUGAACGUCACCGCCCUUCUCCCGAUCUACAGCUGAAGGUAUUCUGUUGACUUACAGAAGCUGAUAACGUAACCUAAUUAUUAUCCACCUGCGAAUAUUCAACUUAUUAGAGACUGCGCUGCACACAUAGGUAAAAGCAAAAUCAUUUUCCAUACUUUCAACGAACCUUCUCAAACUGAACAUAGACCAACUGCCUUUUUAAAAACAUUUGAUGAUGUCUAUUGUUUGGUGCAAAAAUAUAUUAUAGCAGAUGAAAUUAUUCCAUCGUUGGUACUUACUGUGUCUCAAUAGUCACUAUGGUUGACGGGAUGGAAAUGUAUUACUUGCUCUGCAUUCUUGCUCUUAUGUUAGCUGCUUCAAUUCAUGCUAUCAAUACGUUAGACUAUCUCCAUGGAAUUGUUCUGUUCGGUCAUUCACAUUAUGGGAGGAAUACCACCUCCAAUUUCCUGCUUAAACAUGCUGUCAUUUGUCACAUAUGUUCUAU
Solanum tuberosum (potato) is the source of this 816-nucleotide long non-coding RNA. RefSeq lists it as uncharacterized. The transcript is spliced from 4 exons. Lineage: Eukaryota; Viridiplantae; Streptophyta; Magnoliopsida; Solanales; Solanaceae. The record is from RefSeq and is a predicted model, not a curated record.